This 292-nucleotide ribosomal RNA is filed under the name uncultured bacterium. RNAcentral's name for it is "partial 16S ribosomal RNA". It matches the Rfam family "Bacterial small subunit ribosomal RNA", at positions 505 to 796 of the family's 1533-position model. The record is from RNAcentral.
GUGCCAGCCGCCGCGGUAAUACAGAGGUGGCGAGCGUUAUUCGGAAUUAUUGGGCGUAAAGGGCGCGUAGGCGGCUUGACAAGUCCCGGGUGAAAUCCCUCGGCUCAACCGAGGAACUGCCUUGGAAACUGUCUGGCUUGAGGCCGGGAGAGGGUAGUGGAAUUCCCAGUGUAGCGGUGAAAUGCGUAGAUACUGGGAGGAACACCGGUGGCGAAGGCGGCUACCUGGACCGGUUCUGACGCUGAGGCGCGAAAGCGUGGGUAGCAAACAGGAUUAGAUACCCUGGUAGUCC